CCUACGUGCGGCAGCAGUGAGGAAUAUUGGUCAAUGGGCGCGAGCCUGAACCAGCCAAGUAGCGUGAAGGAUGACUGCCCUACGGGUUGUAAACUUCUUUUAUAAAGGAAUAAAGUGAGGCACGUGUGCCUUUUUGUAUGUACUUUAUGAAUAAGGAUAGGCUAACUCCGUGCCAGCAGCCGCGGUAAUACGGAGGUUCCGAGCGUUAUCCGGAUUUAUUGGGUUUAAAGGGAGCGUAGAUGGGUUGUUAAGUCAGUUGUGAAAGUUUGCGGCUCAACUGUAAAAUUGCAAUUGAUACUGGCAGUCUUGAGUACAGUUGAGGUAGGCGGAAUUCGUGGUGUAGCGGUGAAAUGCUUAGAUAUCACGAAGAACUCCGAUUGCGAAGGCAGCUUACUAAACUGCCACUGACAUUGAUGCUCGAAAGUGUGGGUAUCAAACAGGAUUAGAUACCCUUGUAGUC
RNAcentral lists this ribosomal RNA (460 nucleotides) under uncultured bacterium. RNAcentral's name for it is "partial 16S ribosomal RNA". It matches the Rfam family "Bacterial small subunit ribosomal RNA", at positions 338 to 795 of the family's 1533-position model. The record is from RNAcentral.